RNAcentral lists this long non-coding RNA (558 nucleotides) under Jatropha curcas. Its description in RNAcentral is "long non-coding RNA (JCUR_LNC000357)". The record is from RNAcentral. Lineage: Eukaryota; Viridiplantae; Streptophyta; Magnoliopsida; Malpighiales; Euphorbiaceae.
UUAUAUACAUAUUUUCAGUUAUUAUUUGAAAUUAAUGUAUGUCCCUGGAAAUGGGAGAUAAGAAAAAGGCAAAAGCUGGAACAUUUAUUAGGGAAAAUGAGAAUGACCCAACAAUGGUACCGAGUCCCAUUUCAUCCCCCACAUCUCCAAUUAUAUGGAAGUUCAGGCCACAAUCCACAUGGUUGAACCUCCACCUAUAAAUUCUUAUUUCUCUUCAUUUGUAACUCAUCGUCAUCAUUAAGCUCUUUUCAUUCUUUUACCAUUGUUUUUUAGCUCACAAAAAAUUCUCUCUCGAGUCUCUAUCCGUCUCUCUCCUUGUUUCAACCGAAAAAGCUGAGAAACAACCCACAGAGUUAGAACAGCUUUUUUUCUUAAUAUACAGGAAACAGAAUUUAUCGCCGAGAGAGAAAAUUACUAUUUGGGUUUCAAUUUGAAUAUUUCCUGGUAAGCUUCACCAAUUCAAAUUCUACAAAUUUUUUAUGGGUUGAUCAUCUUCGCCACCUUAGGCCUUCCUCUGAGUUUGGGCUCCGAUGAGAAGAUUUCCUGCAAUAAUGGGUA